UGGCAGGGAGGCAGGGAGUGAG
RNAcentral lists this microRNA (22 nucleotides) under Hyalella azteca. RNAcentral describes it as "miR-1207". Lineage: Eukaryota; Metazoa; Arthropoda; Malacostraca; Amphipoda; Hyalellidae. The record is from RNAcentral.